CAAGGCGCAGCUACCAUGCAGUCGAGCGGAAACAAAGAGUAGCUUGCUACUCUGGUGACGAGCGGCGGACGGGUGAGUAAUGCUUGGGAACAUGCCUUGAGGUGGGGGACAACAGUUGGAAACGACUGCUAAUACCGCAUAAUGUCUACGGACCAAAGGGGGCUUCGGCUCUCGCCUUUAGAUUGGCCCAAGUGGGAUUAGCUAGUUGGUGAGGUAAUGGCUCACCAAGGCGACGAUCCCUAGCUGGUUUGAGAGGAUGAUCAGCCACACUGGGACUGAGACACGGCCCAGACUCCUACGGGAGGCAGCAGUGGGGAAUAUUGCACAAUGGGCGCAAGCCUGAUGCAGCCAUGCCGCGUGUGUGAAGAAGGCCUUCGGGUUGUAAAGCACUUUCAGUCAGGAGGAAAGGUUAGUAGUUAAUACCUGCUAGCUGUGACGUUACUGACAGAAGAAGCACCGGCUAACUCCGUGCCAGCAGCCGCGGUAAUACGGAGGGUGCGAGCGUUAAUCGGAAUUACUGGGCGUAAAGCGUACGCAGGCGGUUUGUUAAGCGAGAUGUGAAAGCCCCGGGCUCAACCUGGGAACUGCAUUUCGAACUGGCAAACUAGAGUGUGAUAGAGGGUGGUAGAAUUUCAGGUGUAGCGGUGAAAUGCGUAGAGAUCUGAAGGAAUACCGAUGGCGAAGGCAGCCACCUGGGUCAACACUGACGCUCAUGUACGAAAGCGUGGGGAGCAAACAGGAUUAGAUCCCCU
RNAcentral lists this ribosomal RNA (752 nucleotides) under Pseudoalteromonas sp. Its description in RNAcentral is "bacterial SSU rRNA". It matches the Rfam family "Bacterial small subunit ribosomal RNA", at positions 40 to 788 of the family's 1533-position model. Lineage: Bacteria; Pseudomonadati; Pseudomonadota; Gammaproteobacteria; Alteromonadales; Pseudoalteromonadaceae. The record is from RNAcentral.